GUGACAGCAAGUGUCAACGUGGAAAAAGAGGCGCUCAUCAGGAGUAUUCAGUUUCUAAAGGAGCGAGGCAUAAAGCUGAACUCCAUAACAACAGACCGUCACCCUGCCAUAAGAAAGUACCUUGAGAAGGAAGAACCAGCGAUAAGGCUCUUUUUCGACAUUUGGCAUAUCUCAAAAAGUGUGAAAAAAAAAAGCUGACCGCGAUCAGCAAAAGCGCCAACUGCCACAGCCUAGAGAGGUGGAUCCAGGCAACGUCUAACCACCUGUACUGGUGUGCAAAAGCCAGUGGAGGAGAUGCUCGGCUGACAACAGAUGCAUGGCUAAGCAUCCAGAAUCAUGUUGUGGAUAUUCACAGUCACCAUAAUGGAUCCUACCCACGCUGCCUUCAUGGUCCAAUCACAGAUGGAGACUGGCUUGACUCCGGUAAGAAAAAAAAAAGCAGUAUUGCUUUUUAUGUUUUGGUUUCUUGUUAUACUGCAAUGGUAGAUGUUUAAUCAUAAUACAAUAUGUAAU
This is a long non-coding RNA of Ornithodoros turicata, 513 nucleotides long. RefSeq lists it as uncharacterized. NCBI's taxonomy places the organism in Eukaryota, Metazoa, Arthropoda, Arachnida, Ixodida, Argasidae. The transcript has 3 exons. The record is from RefSeq and is a predicted model, not a curated record.